CAUAUGAGGACACAGCAAGAGGGUGCUAUCUAUGAGGAACAGGCCUUCAUCAGACACCAAAUCUACUGGCACCUCCACCUUGAACUUUCCAGCCCCAAGAAGUUUUCUUUUCUAGUUUCGGCAUCAAAGUUAUUCCAGAAUCACAAAAUGAAAUGUGAAAUAUUCUCUUACAUUUUCUCUUCUGUUGGUCAGCUGGAAGAAAGCAGAUAUUAAAUCUUUCCUAUUUGUUUGAACUUGCAGAUGUACAUGUACUACUCAUGUUUUCAUCAGGAGAACAGAAACACAUUAUAUAUUUCAAGAGGGAAUUUAACGUGAGUAAUCAAUUACAAAGGUACGAGAAAAUUAAAGUGCAAAAAGCAAACACUACUGUAACACUGAAAUAGUAACUUUAGGAGUAGCUGCCUAAUAUAGCUUGGCUGUGUCCCCACCCAAAUCUCAUUUUGAAUUCUCAUGUGUAGGAGAUACCCAGUGGGAGGUAACUGAAUCAUGAGGAUGGGUCUUUUCCAUGUUGUUCUCUUGAUAGUGAAUGUCUCAUGAGAUCUGAUGGUUUUAAAAAGGGGAGUUUCCCUGCACAAGCUCUCUUUUCUUGUCUGUUGCCAUGUGAGACAUGCCUUUCACUUCCACCAUGAUUGUGAGGCCUCCCCAGGCAUGUGGAACUGUAAGUCCAGUAAACCUCUUUCUUUUGUAAAUUGGCCCAUCUUGGAGACUGUAAGUCCAGUAAACCUCUUUCUUUUGCAGAUUGUCCCAUCUUUAUCAGCAGCAUGAAAAUGGACUAAUACACUGACAGUCCCAGGACUGGGAGUGAAUGAAACAGGAAAAAGCUGGUGGUAAGAUUUCUGUGGAGGGGCUGCUACCCUGCUCAUACUGGUACUGGAGCAGGCACAGGGGAGUGGUUCUGGGAGUGCUCAAAGAAACUGGAGCCGAAAGUGCUGUUGCUUUCAGGGUGAGGUUGGCAGGAACAGGAAGACAGACAGGAAGUCCCACCUCCAGACCACAUAGAGUGCCUCCUAUUGGCCAAAACUUACAGGAAGCCAAAUGAGAAUUGGGAAAUAAGUUUUGUAAAGUCUCAGUUCCUGAAUCACAGAGCAGAUUACAGUAGGGGUUUUUGAGCUGAAAAUUAAUAAAUAUUUAACCAACAAAAUAGAUGUCAAAAUUAGUUAUUGAUAUCUAACUGGAGUGCUCUUUUCCAUUUAAAGUUGAUGCUUGAACAACAUGGGUUUAAACUGUGUGAGUGCACUUAUGAGUGGAUGUUUUUCAAUAAAAGUUACACCAAGUGUGCCUGCCUCUCUUGCCUCCCCUUCCACCUCCUGCACCGCUUCCACCUCUGCCAUUCCAGAGACAGCAAGACCAACUCCACUUUUUCUUCCUCCUCCUCAACGAAUUCAACCUAAAGAUAGGGAUGAAGACCUUUAAGAUUAUCCACUUCCACUUAAUGAAUAGUAAAGGUAUUUUCUCUUCCUUAUGAUGUUGUUAAUAAUGUUUUCCUUUUUUUUCUAGCUCACUUUAUUGUAAGAGUACAGUAUGUAAUAUACAUAAUAUACAUCAUCUAUGUUAAUUGACUAUGUUAUCAGUAAGGCUUACAAUCAAUAGUAGGCUAUUAAUUGAUAGGUUUUGGGGGAGUCAAUUGUUAUACCUGUAUUUUCAACUGAGUAGGAGGUCAUCCCCCCAAAUCCCCACAUUGUUCAAGAAUCAACUGUACUUUGAUGCCCCAUACAACAGAAUUUCCAUGGAAGGAGUUAAAACUGAACCUGAUCACUACUGUCUAUCUGAGGAGCAGACAAGAUCCUGUACUUGCCAUGUGCUGAUCUAGCAGAAACAUAGUGCAAGCACACAUGCAAUUAAAAAUUUCCUAGUACCCACAAUGAAUAAAAUAAAACGUGUAAAAUUCAUUUUAAUAACAUAUAUUCCUUAAUCUAUCCAAAGAUGCAC
Molecule: long non-coding RNA, 1929 nt
Filed under: Homo sapiens (human)
Lineage: Eukaryota; Metazoa; Chordata; Mammalia; Primates; Hominidae
Description: HSALNT0215501
Source: RNAcentral